GCCCUUAUAGCUCAGUGGUAGAGCGCAGCACUUGUAUCCAACAACUGAAAUGCUGAGGUCCGUCGUUCAAUCCGGCGUGGGGGCA
Rhypophila decipiens is the source of this 85-nucleotide non-coding RNA. NCBI's taxonomy places the organism in Eukaryota, Fungi, Ascomycota, Sordariomycetes, Sordariales, Naviculisporaceae. The record is from the annotation of a GenBank genome assembly.